GACGAACGCUGGCGGCGUGCUUAACACAUGCAAGUCGAACGGAAAGGCCCUGCUUUUGUGGGGUGCUCGAGUGGCGAACGGGUGAGUAACACGUGAGUAACCUGCCCUUGACUUUGGGAUAACUUCAGGAAACUGGGGCUAAUACCGGAUCGGAGCUCCUGCUGCAUGGUGGGGGUUGGAAAGUUUCGGCGGUUGGGGAUGGACUCGCGGCUUAUCAGCUUGUUGGUGGGGUAGUGGCUUACCAAGGCUUUGACGGGUAGCCGGCCUGAGAGGGUGACCGGCCACAUUGGGACUGCGAUACGGCCCAGACUCCUACGGGAGGCAGCAGUGGGGAAUAUUGCACAAUGGGCGGAAGCCUGAUGCAGCAACGCCGCGUGCGGGAUGACGGCCUUCGGGUUGUAAACCGCUUUCGCCUGUGACGAAGCGUGAGUGACGGUAAUGGGUAAAGAAGCACCGGCUAACUACGUG
Molecule: ribosomal RNA, 468 nt
Filed under: uncultured bacterium
Lineage: Bacteria
Description: partial 16S ribosomal RNA
Rfam family: Bacterial small subunit ribosomal RNA
Source: RNAcentral